Molecule: ribosomal RNA, 253 nt
Filed under: uncultured bacterium
Lineage: Bacteria
Description: partial 16S ribosomal RNA
Rfam family: Bacterial small subunit ribosomal RNA
Source: RNAcentral
UACGAAGGGGGCUAGCGUUGCUCGGAUUGACUGGGCGUAAAGGGCGCGUAGGCGGUUCGUACAGUCAGACGUGAAAUUCCUGGGCUCAACCUGGGGGCUGCGUUUGAUACGUGCGGACUUGAGUGCGGAAGAGGGUCGUGGAAUUCCCAGUGUAGAGGUGAAAUUCCUAGAUAUUGGGAAGAACAUCGGUGGCGAAGGCGGCGACCUGGUCCGAUACUGACGCUGAGGCGCGAAAGCGUGGGGAGCAAACAGG